This 217-nucleotide long non-coding RNA is filed under the name Mytilus galloprovincialis (Mediterranean mussel). Lineage: Eukaryota; Metazoa; Mollusca; Bivalvia; Mytilida; Mytilidae. The record is from RNAcentral.
AGGAAAAUUGAUUUUUGACUUAGAAUAUAAUAUAAUACACAAGGAAUUAGAAUUUUUUCUAGAAUCAAAAUUAAAGUGUUGCACUUGGGUUUAUCAUAAAAGAAACCCACUGUGGUCAGGUGGUAUAUUAUAUUCAAAAUAAAAAAGUAAUGGGAGAUAAUCCAAAUUAAGCUUAGAAAAUUCAUCUAGCCUUCAUUCUUUGCAUUUGUUCCUGAAC